AGGCAGCAGUAGGGAAUCUUCCGCAAUGGGCGAAAGCCUGACGGAGCAACGCCGCGUGAGUGAUGAAGGUCUUCGGAUCGUAAAACUCUGUUAUUAGGGAAGAACAUAUGUGUAAGUAACUGUGCACAUCUUGACGGUACCUAAUCAGAAAGCCACGGCUAACUACGUGCCAGCAGCCGCGGUAAUACGUAGGUGGCAAGCGUUAUCCGGAAUUAUUGGGCGUAAAGCGCGCGUAGGCGGUUUUUUAAGUCUGAUGUGAAAGCCCACGGCUCAACCGUGGAGGGUCUUUGGAAACUGGAAAACUUGAGUGCAGAAGAGGAAAGUGGAAUUCCAUGUGUAGCGGUGAAAUGCGCAGAGAUAUGGAGGAACACCAGUGGCGAAGGCGACUUUCUGGUCUGUAACUGACGCUGAUGUGCGAAAGCGUGGGGAUCAAACAGGAUUAGAUACCCUGGUAGUCCACGCCGUAAACGAUGAGUGCUAAGUGUUAGGGGGUUUCCGCCCCUUAGUGCUGCAGCUAACGCAUUAAGCACUCCGCCUGGGGAGUACGACCGCAAGGUGAAACUCAAAGGAAUUGACGGC
This 579-nucleotide ribosomal RNA is filed under the name uncultured bacterium. RNAcentral describes it as "bacterial SSU rRNA". It matches the Rfam family "Bacterial small subunit ribosomal RNA", at positions 346 to 917 of the family's 1533-position model. The record is from RNAcentral.